GCUAUAUUAGUUUAUAAGAAUUUUUAACUUGUAAUUAGAAGGUGUAAUUAGCUU
This 54-nucleotide transfer RNA is filed under the name Aelurostrongylus abstrusus (cat lungworm). RNAcentral describes it as "tRNA-Thr". The record is from RNAcentral. Lineage: Eukaryota; Metazoa; Nematoda; Chromadorea; Rhabditida; Metastrongylidae.